GGGGCCUUGAAGGGAGACCGUUGAGCUGGGGCGUCCCUCGAGCUGAGCACCUCGCUAAAGUCCGGGAGAAGACCCUGAGGCGGGGUUCUGAGGAGGUUUUCAUGCUGGCUUCAGAGUUUGGCCGUGCUCCCUCAGCGUUCCUAAUUUCCCACUUUCUGACUCUCACCAUUUGCCACUCUUGUCUGUGAUUGAGACACCCGAGGCCCAUUCAGGAUGGAGAGUAAUUUUUUCUCUGUCUUAACUUGAAGUUUUAAAUAGACCACAGACGCCAAGUAUAUUUUGGUUCAGCUUUUAAAUAGAAGUCGCAGGCCAGCCUUCGUGCCAGCAGCGCCAUCGCUGGCAGCAUCCUCCUCCUCCCCUCACGCGGAGACUGACUUGGGGAGAGUCAGGAAACAUUUGAGAGAGCAGCUGCCGAGGUGGAGGCUGUGAUGUAUCUUGGAUGAAUCUCUGUGCAAACAGUUCUUUGGGUUCAAGACCUAGUACAGGGCGAUCCUUUUUGUUUUUUCUGUCUGAAUCAUUUUGGUGGAAUAAAUAGCAAAACAUUC
This 545-nucleotide long non-coding RNA is filed under the name Homo sapiens (human). RNAcentral's name for it is "HSALNT0406060". Lineage: Eukaryota; Metazoa; Chordata; Mammalia; Primates; Hominidae. The record is from RNAcentral.